GCGACCGUAGCUCAAUCGGAUUAGAGCACUUGACUACGGAUCAAGAGGUUAGGGGUUCGAGACCCUUCGGUCGUG
RNAcentral lists this transfer RNA (75 nucleotides) under Chitinispirillales bacterium. RNAcentral describes it as "tRNA-Arg". It matches the Rfam family "tRNA". From Rfam's summary of the family: Transfer RNA (tRNA) molecules are approximately 80 nucleotides in length. Lineage: Bacteria; Pseudomonadati; Fibrobacterota; Chitinispirillia; Chitinispirillales. The record is from RNAcentral.